UGGACAAAUUAUUGUAUUCGAUUGUAUUCACGGCGUGAAACAGGGGAUUACACUGUUUUUAAACGGAAAGUGAAUCAAUUAACAUAAUAGACUCCU
Molecule: microRNA precursor, 96 nt
Filed under: Nicotiana sylvestris (wood tobacco)
Lineage: Eukaryota; Viridiplantae; Streptophyta; Magnoliopsida; Solanales; Solanaceae
Description: MIR6152 microRNA precursor family
Rfam family: MIR6152 microRNA precursor family
Source: Rfam by way of RNAcentral